AGCUUUCAGGAGCGUUGCAAAAGCGAGACUUAUUUCCCAAUAAUGAAUGUGAUCAUAAUGUGUACCUAAAAUGUACCAAUAAACUUAAUGAAUUUAAAAAGCAGGAUUUCAAACGAUACGGAGGUUGGUUUUAUUGGGUGUAUAAGGGACAGGGAAGAGACCAGGGUUACCCUGACAUUUCAAGUCUGUACAGCUGGUGGCCCAUGAUAGGAUGUCAGGUAUAUUCAACAGGUAGUGUAGGAGAGGGGUUGGAACGCGGAAGACAGCGGAGGAAAAUGUACG
Molecule: long non-coding RNA, 282 nt
Filed under: Fukomys damarensis (Damara mole-rat)
Lineage: Eukaryota; Metazoa; Chordata; Mammalia; Rodentia; Bathyergidae
Description: lncRNA (ENSFDAG00000025908.1)
Source: RNAcentral